CCUACGGGUGGCAGCAGUGAGGAAUAUUGGUCAAUGGGCGGGAGCCUGAACCAGCCAAGUCGCGUGAGGGAAGAAUGUCCUAUGGAUUGUAAACCUCUUUUGUCGGGGAGCAAAGUCACCCACGGGUGGGCGUAUGAGAGUACCUGAAGAAAAAGCAUCGGCUAACUCCGUGCCAGCAGCCGCGGUAAUACGGAGGAUGCGAGCGUUAUCCGGAUUUAUUGGGUUUAAAGGGUGCGUAGGCGGACUGUCAAGUCAGCGGUAAAAACGCGGGGCUCAACGCCAUCCAGCCGUUGAAACUGGUGGUCUUGAGUGGGCGAGAAGUAUGCGGAAUGCGUGGUGUAGCGGUGAAAUGCAUAGAUAUCACGCAGAACUCCGAUUGCGAAGGCAGCAUACCGGCGCCCGACUGACGCUGAGGCACGAAAGCGUGGGUAUCGAACAGGAUUAGAUACCCGAGUAGUC
RNAcentral lists this ribosomal RNA (459 nucleotides) under uncultured bacterium. Its description in RNAcentral is "partial 16S ribosomal RNA". It matches the Rfam family "Bacterial small subunit ribosomal RNA", at positions 338 to 795 of the family's 1533-position model. The record is from RNAcentral.